CUCAAAUUGGGCAUGGUGCUCGUGACACUGCAGACAUCUGGAGGUCUUCCUAAGUAAACAUUCAGACAGAUUCAGUCAGAACCUGGUACUGCCUGAGACCAGAGCAGGGAAGUCACUUGCUGCAGGGAUGAAUAGCGCUGAAAGUAGUAAUAAGCAAUGUUCUUCUGAAAGCACAGAUGAGAAGAAGAAUAAUACUGUUAUUUUUCAUGCAGAUAUCAAGCCAGAGAUGGAAGACUGCUUGUGGGAAGACAUAACUGCUUAGCUGCAGCUCAAGGACACUGCAGAAAAUGGGACAAGGACACCAGUCUCGCCAACAGCAGGGGCUCCAGCAUAGACACCUCAAGGAGAUGGCAGAACUUUCCUCCUGAUCUAUGACAUCUUCAGUAAGGAUUCACAUACUUCUCUCUUGCUUCCCCUCCCACAUCCCGCUUCAGCUGACGGAGAUGAGAACUGGGAGUAAAAUGUUGAAGAUCACAGGCUGAGGUUUACUCUCAGCUGUUUCCUCUAUCAUAUACAGGAUGCUAAAGGGUAAGUUUAUUUCAGAUUUGCUCACCCUCAGACAACUGUCCUUUCAGUGGACUUUGCUGCAGGUAAAAUUGAGCAUGAAUUGAAAGGCUGUUGUGUUCAAUACCAUGGCUCAGACCUUUACAUUAUGCUCUUGUACAGUAAUGUCCACUGGGCUUCUCUGUGUAGCAAAAUUUGUUUUAAAAUUUGCUUCAAAAUUUCUGCCAGGAUGCAUUUUUCAUUUAGUUUUUCCCCCAAACCACAAUUUUGUUCAUUGGCAUGACACUUGCCUUGCAUGGCUCAUGCCCCACUGUCUGUGUGUGAGGAAGUCCCUGCAGAACUUGACAUAGUGAGCUCUGAAGAAAUGCAGGUGACUCACAUUAGAAGUGACAUCUAGGAGAUCGUAAGACAAGACAGCCUUGAGUUUUUGAAUCUGUGACACUGUUCUGGGUAUUCACAGUCUUCUUUCAUUCACAACCAAGGACUUCAAGAUCUUUGCAAUGCACCAUUUGUGUAGAGGUAACCUUAACAUAUGUUAGAUCACAAAUGUUCUCACUGUAAGGCUUCUGUACCCUACAUAGUCAGGAUGCAGGGCACAAAUGUAAAUAAGAAUUGAAGUCUUGUGGUCUGGCCAUGAAGUAAGCAGGUGUGACAACUGAAAAACUUACCUUUCCAACUGGAUACUUAGCUCUUGGAAACUGAUCAGAAAGGAUUCAUAAUCAUUAACUUUAAAAAUCACACUCAGAUGGUAUUUUUUUUUCCUUCAAGCCUAAUGUCCCAGUUGAGAGCCAUUUCCCAUUUCAAGAACCAAGUGUUCACUGAUCACAAGAGAUGGCAGGCACUGAUGGUAUAUCUGACAUGGGCACAGGAUAAAGACUCUCUGACUGGUCAGUUCCAAGUGACCCUAUGCAUCCAGCAGGAUGAAGCAAGGGAUUCCUGAGGAAACAUGCACCAUUGACAGAGCACAAGGAAUUCAGUUUCCCCCUAACUGCCUUGUACCUUUCAUUUUUAUAGUCCAAUUCCUCUGAAAGUCCAAAAAUAAGUGACUGUGUAUCUUACCUUAUAGUCUGAUGUGAUGCGGGUUUAAGAGUUACUUAUGUAGGAUGUAAAGGUUUUCUAAGAACCAUGUAAGUACCCUGCUUCUGUACCACACAUGUAUUUCCUCUGAAUGAUACAUUGGCUAAGGAGAUCUAGUCCAAGACCAGGAACUUGUAAAUAUGUAAAGCAAAGGGGGAUACAGAGAGUAGGGAUAGGGAAGGGACACCAAGAAAUAACACGGGCACAAUUUUCCACCCCUGUCAAACCUUUCUCGCCUGCAUGCAAGGUUGAAGUUCUCCUCAGCCUGUCUGAAAGUGGCAGAACAGGGCUUUGCUUCAUCUGCCCCUGGAUAGAGUGAAAAAAGCUAGUGAUAGAUAUGUUGAAUGCAACCCAUACUGGCACCUGUGUUAUUGGGAGCUUCUGGUUGUUUCAUAUAUCUAAAGUUGUUCCAUAGGUUUAGCAAGCAAGCAAUAGUCAUAGUAAGCUUCUUGAUUACUCAAAGAUUUUGCACUUUUGCAGCUUUUCGUGACACAUUUGAAUGCCAUUCAAGCAUUCCUAAUCCAAGUGCAUGGGAUCAAUUCAAAAUAUGCAACAAUUGUGUAGUAUAGCUUCUCUUCUAAGUAUUUCUUCUCAUCUAACAGUUCUCAGAGCACUUGGUCAGUCUUACAGCAGUCUACCUGGUUAUCAUACCUGCUUAUCAUAGGGGAGUUCUUUCAUACUCAGGUUGACCUGAUUUUGAUGUACAAAUCAAAAUUCAAAGAGACUAGCUCAAGUGAUUGCAGUAAGUGAUAAGAAGCAAGAAAGAUGAAAACAACCAAGGGCAGCAACUCCAGGUUUUAGACUACAGCUGAUCUCUUAAUUACCUUUGGUCAUGUUCUGGAAAGGAGGAAUAUACUUCCAGUAUAUAAUUAUCUUUCUCUGCACACUUACAGAGAGAGAGAAAGAGCCACUUGGGGAUAUUGUAGAGGGGUUAUGGAGGUUUAUCAUGCUUCCAUUUUUCAGGAGGUCAGUCCUGUGAAGUUAUCAACAUACACUGCUUUUGCAAGUUAAGAUUUAUUAAAAGCACUUGCCUUGUUGGAGCUCUUCCAUGAUCAGGAAUGUCCAAUAAAUUUGGGGAAAGAAAUGAGGAGUCUGAGGUGUCCUUUGGAUCAUUUAUUGCACUGAAGGCUUCCCUCAGAGAGGAGCUAAACAAUAGCAAGGUCCAGUAAAGGAGCUCCUUAUGGAGAGAGCAGAAAGGAUAACAUUUGACAGGAGGAGAACAGAAAACAAUAAAGGUUUUCAGAAGGAAUAUCGUGGCCAUCAAGAUACACAGAGCUUAAGAAGUAUUAAAGAGGGGGUGUAAAAAUGAAUGUAUGAUACAGUUAGUGCUCCUGCAAGUGUGGUAUAAAACCAGACAGUCUAUUACAGCAGCUCUAAGGACACAGACAGUACCACUUUGCACAAGUCAAUGCAGUAAUUUGCUGCUUACUGUCUUCUACCGGAUAUUCUGUGUUCCACUUCAGCUUUGCUCCUUGACUAUAUAAAUCAUAUCCAUACUGAUUUUCUCCCUCUUGCCUUUUAGGCUCUGUGUCCUUGUCUGAUGAAGAGCCACACUGUCCCCCUCAAAGACUCAACACCCAGGGAAACAUGCAGUACCCAGGACAAGGCAGUGACUCAUCUAAUCCCUGCUGGUGCUGGCCUGCUUUGUAAAAGCACUUGUGUUCCUAUUAUGUCUGUGUGGCAUGGCAUAGCACAGAGAGGAGAUGCUCCUGCAGAAAUCCCCCAGACAGGCCAGCACUCCUGGUCCAAGUCACAGCCUAGGGUUUCAGGAGUUAUCUCAUCCUCCCCAUUGUGCAAGACCAGCACUGCACACUUAGUUCACUGGCCCUGGGACCACAUUAUAAUUUUGACUCAUUAAUUAGAAUUAUAGCCCCUGCUCAAACUUUAUGUCAAUAGUGUGUGUAGCAUCUCACUUAGAGUGCAGUGAGAGUCUUAAACUCAGAAACAAUAUUAUUUAUUUUAUAAAAUCAAAAAAAUAACCCCAAAAAUGCCAGAGCUGGCAUCAUGAAGAUUGAUGUGAGUCCACAGGAAUGAAUCCUUCUGCUGUGUGCCUUGCCUAAAAAUGCAAGGUUAAUCCAGCUGCUUCCAGUGGGGCAAGUAGGAGAUUUCUUCUAGAAAACAUGCCAGGGAUUUCUGUAUUUAUUUUUUUUUUUAGUGCCUUCCAGCAAAGAUCAUCUGCUAGGACCAUCUGGAUGUCAUGAGUUCAGUGAAUUUCCUCUGUUAAAGUUUUAUUCAGGAAACAGCCAAAAUGGCUGGUGAAGCUCUGUGAUGACUGCAGUUCAGUUUCUCAGCAGAUGGAAAGAGCCCUGAGCACUCAAGGUGUACAUGAAGCCUCAAACUUGUUCUGAGUGCAUGCUGUCCUGUCACACUGGGCAAGCUGGAGCUGGCCAGUAGUCCAAGUCCUCAAAGUGCAAGGACACCAGCAAGGAGUGGGCCAGAAGGAAGCACAAGGGAGUUUGGUUGAAUUUCAGAGAGAAAAUCAUUCAUUUAAAGCUGGAAGUGUUGGAUGACUUCAAGAAUUCAGCAAGGCUAGACUGGAAACAACCUCUGAUCUUCCAGACAUUGUCUGAAUUUCAUUCUCUUUGCAUUGCAUACCCUGUUGGAAAUUGAUGAGCUACCACUUAUAUCAGAGGGAAACUCAGCUGUGCCUGGGGAAAACUAGAGCCACUACUGCAGAGAGACAGAGAGACACAGCAGAAAGACAAGCAUUUUGAGAGCACAGUUAAUUAUGAAGUUACCAGGACGUUUUCCAUCUGUUUCUGCAAGGAAGCCUUUCAGUCACGAACCUACAGGAAUGAGGGGAGUUCUUCAAUUGUGGCCUGUGAACAAGACUUCAG
Parus major (Great Tit) is the source of this 4418-nucleotide long non-coding RNA. RefSeq lists it as uncharacterized. The record is from RefSeq and is a predicted model, not a curated record. Lineage: Eukaryota; Metazoa; Chordata; Aves; Passeriformes; Paridae. The transcript has 9 exons.